RNAcentral lists this ribosomal RNA (1033 nucleotides) under Chilostomella ovoidea. RNAcentral describes it as "partial small subunit ribosomal RNA". The stretch from base 1 to 166 matches the Rfam family "Eukaryotic small subunit ribosomal RNA", at positions 1660 to 1831 of the family's 1831-position model. The record is from RNAcentral. Lineage: Eukaryota; Foraminifera; Rotaliida; Chilostomellidae.
UUGUACACACCGCCCGUCGCUCUUACCGAUGGACUUCUCUGUGAGUUUGAGGGACUGGGAACGCAAAUUCUCUGCACACCUAUGGAAACUUAAACGAACAGUGUGGUCUAAAGGAAAGAGAAGUCGUAACAAGGCAUCGGUAGGUGAACCUGCCGAUGGAUCAUUACGCGUUAUUUUUACAUAUAAAUUUUACACACACACACACACACGCAUGUAAUUUUUAUACGGUAUAUAACACGCUCUUCGUACCAGGCGUGCACGUGUCUCACAAACAUAUGCGCGCAGGUACGUAACUCAAUCUCGAAACAAGUUAGCCUGUAGACUUUUGAUCUCAGGCACCAUGCAUACUUACGUGUGCAUACCCCUUUCAACUGGAUCAAAUAAUUCUAUUCAGCUCUGCGGAGUCUAACCCCAUGAAAAUUUUGUAUAAGAUUUUGUGUAGACAACACACAUACACACUGCAUGAGCGAUGGAUCUCUUGGUUCCUUGCAUCGUUGAAGGUCGCAGCGAAUUGCGAAAUGUUGGUCGUGUGAAUUGCAAGACACAUUGGCCCUUUUCGGGCUGCGGAACACCUUACUCACUGAACGGUUUAUAUCGCUUAGCAGAUUAAUCUUCGUGUUCGCACGUAGACUGCAGCGCGCUCGGUUGAGAGUGCUUUAUAUGUUUACAUGCAUUGAUUUGCAUCUGCACAUAUUUUUUUCUCGCGUCGUUUUUUUACGCACGCGGGAAAUCGUUCAAAAUUCUCUCCUAUGAAUAGUGUAACGCUUUACUCACACACACACACACACAAAGCUAGUACACACGCGGAAUAUAUUUCUUCACUGCUAAUAUUUUCCACCGCGUAAAAUUUAUUUUUUACUGCGUACGCAUCGUAUAUACCUUUACGCACAGAGAUUUAUACCCUCGCACUGUCAACAGAAUUUAUUCUUUGGCUGAGACUAAUUUAUUUCUGCCGAGGCUUUAUACACCCGCGUACAUUUCUGCAGUGAGAUAUUUUACGCUACUCUUCCUAAGGCACAUCAGCUCGAGUGAU